This 202-nucleotide ribosomal RNA is filed under the name uncultured bacterium. RNAcentral's name for it is "partial 16S ribosomal RNA". It matches the Rfam family "Bacterial small subunit ribosomal RNA", at positions 524 to 725 of the family's 1533-position model. The record is from RNAcentral.
GACAGAGGGUGCAAACGUUGUUCGGAAUUACUGGGCGUAAAGCGCGUGUAGGCGGCCAUCUAAGUCGGGCGUGAAAUCCCACGGCUCAACCGUGGAAGUGCACUCGAAACUGGAUGGCUAGAGUCCUGGAGAGGAAGGUGGAAUGCUUGGUGUAGAGGUGAAAUUCGUAGAUAUCAAGCGGAACACCGGUGGCGAAGGCGGC